AACAUACCGAAAGGUAUGCUAAUACAAGAUGAUAUAAGAGAUUCGCAUGGAUUUCUUAUCAAAGCUCCGGCGGUAUGAGAUGGACCCGCGUCUGAUUAGCUAGUUGGUAAGGUAACGGCUUACCAAGGCGACGAUCAGUAGCCGACCUGAGAGGGUGAUCGGCCACAUUGGAACUGAGACACGGUCCAAACUCCUACGGGAGGCAGCAGUGGGGAAUAUUGCACAAUGGGCGAAAGCCUGAUGCAGCAACGCCGCGUGAGCGAUGAAGGCCUUCGGGUCGUAAAGCUCUGUCCUCAAGGAAGAUAAUGACGGUACUUGAGGAGGAAGCCCCGGCUAACUACGUGCCAGCAGCCGCGGUAAUACGUAGGGGGCUAGCGUUAUCCGGAUUUACUGGGCGUAAAGGGUGCGUAGGUGGUUUCUUAAGUCAGGAGUGAAAGGCUACGGCUCAACCGUAGUAAGCUCUUGAAACUGGGAAACUUGAGUGCAGGAGAGGAAAGUGGAAUUCCUAGUGUAGCGGUGAAAUGCGUAGAUAUUAGGAGGAACACCAGUAGCGAAGGCGGCUUUCUGGACUGUAACUGACACUGAGGCACGAAAGCGUGGGGAGCAAACAGGAUUAGAUACCCUGGUAGUCCACGCCGUAAACGAUG
RNAcentral lists this ribosomal RNA (647 nucleotides) under uncultured Bacillota bacterium. RNAcentral describes it as "bacterial SSU rRNA". It matches the Rfam family "Bacterial small subunit ribosomal RNA", at positions 145 to 811 of the family's 1533-position model. The record is from RNAcentral. Lineage: Bacteria; Bacillati; Bacillota.